GACGAACGCUGGCGGCGUGCUUAACACAUGCAAGUCGAACGGAAAGGCCCUGCUUUUGUGGGGUGCUCGAGUGGCGAACGGGUGAGUAACACGUGAGUAACCUGCCCUUGACUUUGGGAUAACUUCAGGAAACUGGGGCUAAUACCGGAUAGGAGCUCCUGCUGAAUGGUGGGGGUUGGAAAGUUUCGGCGGUUGGGGAUGGACUCGCGGCUUAUCAGCUUGUUGGUGGGGUAGUGGCUUACCAAGGCUUUGACGGGUAGCCGGCCUGAGAGGGUGACCGGCCACAUUGGGACGGAGAUACGGCCCAGACUCCUACGGGAGGCAGCAGUGGGGAAUAUUGCACAAUGGGCGGAAGCCUGAUGCAGCAACGCCGCGUGCGGGAUGACGGCCUUCGGGUUGUAAACCGCUUUCGCCUGUGACGAAGCGUGAGUGACGGUAAUGGGUAAAGAAGCACCGGCUAACUACGUG
Molecule: ribosomal RNA, 468 nt
Filed under: uncultured bacterium
Lineage: Bacteria
Description: partial 16S ribosomal RNA
Rfam family: Bacterial small subunit ribosomal RNA
Source: RNAcentral